RNAcentral lists this ribosomal RNA (518 nucleotides) under Sarpa salpa. RNAcentral describes it as "partial 16S ribosomal RNA". It matches the Rfam family "Bacterial large subunit ribosomal RNA", at positions 1845 to 2560 of the family's 2925-position model. Lineage: Eukaryota; Metazoa; Chordata; Actinopteri; Spariformes; Sparidae. The record is from RNAcentral.
AUAAGAGGUCCCGCCUGCCCUGUGACUAUAUGUUUAACGGCCGCGGUAUUUUGACCGUGCGAAGGUAGCGCAAUCACUUGUCUUUUAAAUGAAGACCUGUAUGAAUGGCAUCACGAGGGCUUAGCUGUCUCCCCCUUCCAGUCAAUGAAAUUGAUCUCCCCGUGCAGAAGCGAGGAUAAAUACAUAAGACGAGAAGACCCUAUGGAGCUUAAGACGCCAGGGCAGCUCACGUUAAACACCCCUAAUAAAGGAAUUCAACCAAGCGAAUCCUGCUCUAAUGUCUUUGGUUGGGGCGACCACGGGGAAGCAUAAAACCCCCACGUGGAUAGGAACACUUCACUCCUAAACCCAAGAGCCUCCGCUCUAACAAACAGAACUUCUGACCAUUUUAGAUCCGGCUACACCGAUCAACGGACCGAGUUACCCUAGGGAUAACAGCGCAAUCCCCUUAAAGAGCUCUUAUCGACAAGGGGGUUUACGACCUCGAUGUUGGAUCAGGACAUCCUAAUGGUGCAGCC